Long non-coding RNA from Marmota flaviventris (yellow-bellied marmot), 865 nucleotides. RefSeq lists it as uncharacterized. NCBI's taxonomy places the organism in Eukaryota, Metazoa, Chordata, Mammalia, Rodentia, Sciuridae. The record is from RefSeq and is a predicted model, not a curated record.
CCUCUGGUGACUUUCUCUUGCUCUCCCUUUUGGGGAGCCUGAGGCCAAGAGCUGAGAAACCAUCCAGAAGCUUCUUUAAAGACUCAAGGGCCUCUUCACUGGAUCGGUGAACCUGCUGCACUGAGAGACGGUUUGGACUCAAGGAAGUGACUUUGGCAUAAAACUGCUGAGAGUUCUCUUUGGUGAGAAGCAAGUGGUUAUGUGGGAAGAAGCCAAAGCCACCAUCUUGGACUAUGUGGGUGUCUUUGAAGAUGGAUAUCAUCUAGGAUGCUCAGAAGGAAGGGAGGAGGAACUUUGGUCCUGAUGACUAUGGAGACAUUGCACCAGCCCUAGGACUUCUUUAUGAGGAUGUUUGGCUGACCCUAAGAACAGUUCUGACCGGACCAGUAUAUCAAUGGACUGUGACUGAAGGGACAGCAACCUUUCUAACUGGCACUGUUUUGGAAAUUAUUGGUUCUUUGAGUCCACGAUGGAAUCCAAAGGAAUCCCUUUAUCAUGGUCCUCACCUCACAUAAGAAGGAUUGUUGCACUUGAAGACUCUUGGCCUCCAUUUCCUGAAAAACAAAGUACUACGACUUAAAAGUUUGAAGAGAUUUUCCAGGGUUAAGAUUCUUCUAGCAAGAAAACAUAGGGGAAACACUUGAUUGGCAUAGGUAAUGAUUAACUGGAUAGGAACUUUUGGGCAGGCACAGUGUGUCUGGAGGUGGAUCACUGGGGGCAUCCCUUUGGGGUUUAUAUUUUGUCUAUGGUGAGCAGAGCUGUUUCUUGGUGGCCAUGUCCUGAGCUGCUUUCAUCCCCCAUGCCCUUCUGCUUUGAUCUGUCCCAGAGCAGUGGAGUUGGCCCUCUAGGGACUGAGAUCUCUGAA